GCAUUGCUGAGGAGUCCCAUACCAGGACGAAACCGCCGUCCAAUGC
This 46-nucleotide non-coding RNA is filed under the name Schistosoma haematobium. The record is from RNAcentral. Lineage: Eukaryota; Metazoa; Platyhelminthes; Trematoda; Strigeidida; Schistosomatidae.